Molecule: non-coding RNA, 102 nt
Organism: Acanthosepion pharaonis
Lineage: Eukaryota; Metazoa; Mollusca; Cephalopoda; Sepiida; Sepiidae
Source: the annotation of a GenBank genome assembly
CACGUUGAAACAGCGGUUCUCUUCCAAUCAUUAAAGUUAAGCAAUGUCGAGCUUAGUCAGUACGUAGAUGGGUGACCACUAGGGAAUACCAGGUGUUGUAAG